Molecule: ribosomal RNA, 606 nt
Filed under: uncultured bacterium
Lineage: Bacteria
Description: bacterial SSU rRNA
Rfam family: Bacterial small subunit ribosomal RNA
Source: RNAcentral
CUCCUACGGGAGGCUGCAGCAACGAAUAUUCCGCAAUGGGCGCAAGCCUGACGGAGCGACGCCGCGUGAAGGAUGAGGUCCUUCGGGAUGUAAACUUCGAUAGUUGGUUGGAAAGCAAUUCGGGCGAAUAGUCCGGAAAGUUGAUCGGCCAACGAAAGGGGUGGCUAACUCCGUGCCAGCAGCCGCGGUAAGACGGAGACCCCUAGCGUUGUUCGGAAUUACUGGGCUUAAAGGGCGUGUAGGCGGAACGGUAAGUACUUUGUGAAAUCCCCGGGCUCAACCCGGGAAUGGCUUGGUAUACUGCCGUUCUUGAGGCAGGUAGGGGUCACUGGAACCUUAGGUGGAGCGGUGAAAUGCGUAGAUAUCUAAGGGAACGCCUGUGGCGAAAGCGGGUGACUGGGCCUGUCCUGACGCUGAGACGCGAAAGCGUAGGGAGCAAACGGGAUUAGAUACCCCGGUAGUCUACGCCGUAAACGAUGCGCACUAGGUUCGAGAGUCUCUGAUAUCUUUCGAGCCGAAAUAAAAACGGUAAGUGCGCCGCCUGGGGAGUACGGCCGCAAGGCUAAAACUCAAAGGAAUUGACGGGGGCUCCCACAAGCGGUGGAG